Molecule: long non-coding RNA, 2674 nt
Filed under: Triticum aestivum (bread wheat)
Lineage: Eukaryota; Viridiplantae; Streptophyta; Magnoliopsida; Poales; Poaceae
Description: long non-coding RNA (TAES_LNC007756)
Source: RNAcentral
ACACAUUAAAAGCACAUGAGUCAUCAUAUCUUUCUCGCGUCAUACAGGAUAAGUCCUUUGCCAAAAUCUCUCCCACCAUACGGGAUUUUUGACAUAAUAUUAUGUCAAUUUUACCCCGUUACGCAGGUAUUUCCCCAGAAUUUUCCAUCCAUGCAGGUUUUAUCAUAAUCAUCUUUUCCUGCCAUGCGGGUAAUUCCCUGUAACGGACAUAUAUGUCAGAAUUGGCUCUUUUGACUGCAUGUUCAAUCAUCAAAUUUAGAAAUAAAUCCGAAUGCUCUUUGACACACAUGCUUGAUCCGACGUUGGUCAAAUUAAACACACAUGUUGCUUGUUUCAUCUCAAAUCAUGUUUCAUCUCAAAUCAUGUUGACUGAAAAAUCUUCUUCAUAGACAGUACAUGAAAGACAUUCAUCAACCAAGACUCUCAAUGAUCUAUCUGUUUCUUUUGAUGCCAUUCUUUAGAGAGAACAUACUCCUUCACGUUAUGACCUUUCUUGGUCAUCUUUCGGGUCCCAAGUACCCAGCCAUUCGCUUUCACGAAUGAAAGCAUGGAAAACUUUUAGUCUGAGAAAAAUUAGCCAAUAAUCAACAAUAAUGAGCAUAAAAAUAACCCCAUGUUGGUAUGGUUAAAAAAUAUGCACAUUAAACUUUUAAAACUUUCUUUUAUAUUCUAAAUCACUGUUGGGCAGAAUUAGAGUAAAACAUCAUCCUUCUACAUUAAUUCCAUAUCAACGUUGGGUGGAAAUGGAAAUAAUGCAUAUAACUCAUAAACAAUGUGAUGAUAGUAUGUCUAUUAAACAUCUUUGCUAAGAAAUAAUAAUCAUCAUCAACUUUAUUGCAGCAGGAACAAGAAAUAUACAUUUCUCUAGUUCAAGAGCAUUUCUUGAUCUUUAUCUGUUCUCUGAAAAUUGAUCACUUUGAUACAAAAUUUAUUAGAGAUUUAAGCUUUGAACUUAAGACUCAUAGAGUUAUAACACUGUUAUCAUCAACUUUGGUCAGAAAAUAACAAUGCCAUAUUUUAAUUUUAAAACAAACAUCUUUCUUUUGUCAUAUCGGAAGAUAUCUGAAUCUGAUUUCACCCAUAGGGGAAAACAUUGCUAAGAAUAGUUCUUCCAAUUAAAUUUUCCCGUUGGUUUCAAUUUAAUUGGAGGAUAAAACUUUUACUUUGCAACGUAAAAUUUACAAUAUUCUAUUCAGAAACAAUUCUGUACUCUUUUACACUCUAAGCAAUUUUAACCAGUUAGUUCAAAAUUGCAUUAGAGAAGCAACAAUUUAAUCUUUCACUUCAAGUUCUAUUCACUUUUAAAAGAACACUUUUAUUUUUAUUUGCAACGGAAAACAUGAAUAAAAAAAUUCAUGGACUUUUCACUUUUCAGAAACAUUACUUUUACUUUUCUAUUUUCUAAAUAAAAAUUUUCUUUGAAUAAUUUUUGAAUAGAAAAAAGACGGUAUUAAUUGUUCCCAAAGAACUGGACAAAAACAGAAAAAACAAAAAAGGACACUGAAACUGUUCUAUGCACACACGCCGCUCGCGGCCCACGGUCAGCUGGGCGAGCUUCACUCGGCCGCCCGAGCUCCUCGGCCCAUGGCCCACCGUGGCAAUGCGUCUGCAGCCUGGUCCGCCGGACCAAAGGCCUGCCUUACUUUCGGCCCAUAAGGCCCAGCGACGCGCUAGGGUUUGGAUCUCAGCCGUCCGAUUCAAUCUGACGGUCGAGCGUCAUUUUCGGUAGAUCGAAACGGGAGAGUCCGAUCCCCCGAUCGAAAACCCUAGCCAUUCUCUUUACCUCGCCUCUCUCUUCGACCUGUCCGCGAGAUCAGGAACGACGACGGUGAGAAAAAACAGCGCCCCGGCCGCCUUCCCCGGCCGCUGGCAACGACGCCGAAGCUGCCGCGCCGCGCCUGGCUGUUCAUUCCGUUCCCAUUUCUCUCAUUUCUCUCGAAAAAACGGCGGAAGUAGGGGAUGCUCCCCAGCUGCCCGGGCCUGCCGCCGGCGACGGCGGCGGAUCCACCGCGCCGUGCGAGCGCCUCCUUUCCCUCCCCCUUCUCUUUCCACCCAGCAGGCCACCACCACCGCAUAGCCCGUGCAGAGCUAGAGAGAGAGAGAGAGAGAGAGAGAGAGAGAGAGAGAGAGAGAGAGAGAGAGAGACGCGAUUUGCGCGCCCCUCCCCUUGCUCUCCGGCGCCCAAUGGACGAUGCUCGAACUGCGGUGGCGGCGCCCCCGCAGGCCCCUUUGCCAGGGUGGUUCUUCGUCCCUGCACCUUGGCUUGCCGAUGCGUGUGGGGAUCGAGAGGAACUGCACGGCUCAGCAGCGGGCGCACUUUUCUGUGAAGGGAUUCAAGAGGUUUUUUUUUGUAUAGGGUUCGGAUGCGAUCCGAUUUGGUAAGGGGAGGGCCCCUACUCUCUGUUUCUAACCCAAAACUAAGCCUAGAACAGCUCUGAUGCCAUUGUUAUAACCAUAGGAUCGACUAGGCAAGGGUUUCAGAGUAGAUUAAACUAUAUGUAGUCUGUCUAUGGUCUGUUUGUGUGUAUACCUUAGCCUUCCGGCCAUCGCUGGUUCGUCGAUGAAGGUCUGCGCAGGGGCAGCGAUGGUCGGUGUAGGGGUCGACGGUGAAGUCCGGCAGGGCGUUGUGGAGCUUCGCAUCGCUGACUGGCUUUCCUCGAUUGGUGAGGUUAGG